RNAcentral lists this long non-coding RNA (146 nucleotides) under Penaeus japonicus. Its description in RNAcentral is "uncharacterized LOC122267740". The record is from RNAcentral. Lineage: Eukaryota; Metazoa; Arthropoda; Malacostraca; Decapoda; Penaeidae.
UCGUGGUGGUGUUGACGCAUGUGACUGUGUGACCCAGCGCCGCCGCCCGAACCCGUGGUCAGCACGCCCGCGAAGAGAGCCAACAGCACCCACGCCCGCAGGAGAGACUUGUCUUCUGAGGGUGCCAUUCUUCUCUGUUGCAACAG